CUACGGGUUGCAGCAGUGAGGAAUAUUGCGCAAUGGGGGAAACCCUGACGCAGCGACGCCGCGUGGAUGAUGAAGGCCUUAGGGUCGUAAAAUCCUGUCAGGUGGGAAGAAGUGGAUAUAGAUUAAUACUCUAUUUCUUUGACGGUACCACCAAAGGAAGCACCGGCUAACUCCGUGCCAGCAGCCGCGGUAAUACGGAGGGUGCAAACGUUGUUCGGAAUUACUGGGCGUAAAGCGCGCGUAGGCGGUUUGUUAAGUCAGAUGUGAAAGUCCAUGGCUCAACUAGGGAAGUGCAUUUGAAACUGGCAGACUUGAGUACUGGAGGGGGUGAUGGAACUCCCGGUGUAGAGGUGAAAUUCGUAGAUAUCGGGAGGAAUACCGGUGGCGAAGGCGAUCACCUGGCCAGAUACUGACGCUGAGGUGCGAAAGCGUGGGGAGCAAACAGGAUUAGAUACCCGGGUAGUC
This 465-nucleotide ribosomal RNA is filed under the name uncultured bacterium. RNAcentral's name for it is "partial 16S ribosomal RNA". It matches the Rfam family "Bacterial small subunit ribosomal RNA", at positions 339 to 795 of the family's 1533-position model. The record is from RNAcentral.